Molecule: long non-coding RNA, 1349 nt
Organism: Platichthys flesus (European flounder)
Lineage: Eukaryota; Metazoa; Chordata; Actinopteri; Pleuronectiformes; Pleuronectidae
Exons: 3
Source: RefSeq, a predicted model, not a curated record
UCUCACACACACACACACACACACACACACACACACUCAAGUACACUUUAAUUACGGCCCGAGCACUGACAGUGGGAGGCCCUAUUGAAAUUGUAAUGAUUAUUAUUAUUAUUAUUCAGGCAAAUGAAUUGGCUUUUUGAGGGCUUUAACAUGCUCAAAUUCUUACCAAAAUUAGCAGAAAGUUAGAAAGUGGUGAAAAUGUAUGUAUUCUGGAGGAAUUUCCAUUUGGGGUCCAAAAUUUCUCAAUGGUGCCCCCGAGACCCCCGGAACGUGUUCACAUUGACCGAUCUUCACAAAAACAAAUUGAACUAGGACUACGUUGUAGCACUAACGGGCCCGAGCACAGGCAAUUUCAAGUCUGUUGCGGUCGGGGAAGAGAGAACGUUCGAUGACCAAGCGCUCAUCUCCACAUUGCCUGCGUUUGCCCUGUGCGGCAAGGAUGAUCGCUCCACUUCUUCUGGCCAGCCGCUGGUGCUGAACUAGAGGUAAGUAACCUUCAAACUAUCCAACAUAAUCUAUUGCUUUAUCUAUCAUCAUAUGCUUACAUGCCUCAAGUUUUUUGUAAUAUGUAAUUGUUAUAAAAGUUACCGUUUAUUUAUCACGUCUAAUGAACAGAUUGAAGCAAGAAACUCCACAGUCUUGUUUUGGUUGUGACAUUAUUUUUUUAAUAAGUUACUAUCAAUACGCUACACGUGUACGUUUCAUGUGAUAGUAACUGUUUCACCAAUAUUCUGAUACAGGAUGGUAUAUCCGCCAUUACUAUUUUCACAUCGUUUAUUUAGUCUGUCUUGGAGUUGUAGAGUGAAUUAGACAGUAGUGAUAAGAUUAUAAUGUCCACACAUCAGUGUUGUAAACACUUCUCCAAUUAAUUAUAUAAUUAUGUUUUCACACUGAGGGAAGUGGAGAGACUUGAUGUGGACUGUUAUCAACAGCUCUGUGGGAGAUCAUCACCUUGAAUAUUACAGAUGAGGACACACAGAGCAGUGAGCGACCAUGUACGGCGCUCGGGUAGCAGAUGUUGGGGGAGUGAGGUGCCUUGCUCAUGGGCACUAGAGAGGAUGAAGAACCGCAGCACCUGAUGUCCUCAGCAGCAACAUGGUGGAGAUCUGAUUUGAUACACUUUAGAUAAGAACCCAGUGUUUUAUAUUUCUGCUUUGCCAUAAGAGACAGAACAUGGUCAUCACAGCUGUGUCCUUCAGGCUCGUCUGUCCCUAAUAAAAUGAUAGGAAACAUGAAAGUGAUCGUCAUUAUUGUAGAGGAAGAGUUACAUAUGAACAAAGUGUGUAAUCUUAUUUUCUGUGGAUAUUCAACUGUGUAUUUGAAUAUGCUUUUGGAUUAAAACGUGCACU